GGCGGGACCUGCUCCAGCCAUGCCGCGUGUGUGAAGAAGGCCUUAUGGUUGUAAAGCACUUUAAGCGAGGAGGAGGCUACUUUAGUUAAUACCUAGAGAUAGUGGACGUUACUCGCAAAAUAAGCCCCGGCUAACUCUGUGCCAGCAGCCGCGGUAAUACAGAGGUGGCGAGCGUUAAUCGAAUUUACUGGGCGUAAAGCGUGCGUAGGCGGUUUAUUAAGUCGGAUGUGAAAUCCCCGAGUUUAACUUGGAAAUUGCAUUCGAUACUGGUGAGCUAGAGUAUGGAAAAGGAUGGUAGAAUUCCGGGUGUAGCGGAAAAAUGCGUAAAGAUCUGGAGGAAUACCGAGGGCAAAGGCAGCCAUCUGGCCUAAUACUGACUCUGAGGUACAAGCGCAUGGGGAGCAAACAGGAUUAUAUACCCUGGUAGCCCAUGCCGUACACUAUGUCUACUAGCCUUUGGGGCUUUUGAGGCUUUAGUGGCGCACCUAACGCUAUAAGUACACCGCCUGGGGAGUACGGCCGCAAGACUAACACUCAGAUGAAUUGACGGGGGGCCCGCACAAGCGGUGGAGCAUGUGGUUUAUUUCGAUGCAGCGCGAAGAACCUUACCUGGUCUUGACAUACUAGAAACUUUCCAGAGAUGGAUUGGCGCCUUCGGGAAUAUAGACACAGGUGCUGCAUGGCUCUCGUCAGCA
Molecule: ribosomal RNA, 695 nt
Filed under: Acinetobacter baumannii
Lineage: Bacteria; Pseudomonadati; Pseudomonadota; Gammaproteobacteria; Moraxellales; Moraxellaceae
Description: bacterial SSU rRNA
Rfam family: Bacterial small subunit ribosomal RNA
Source: RNAcentral